Molecule: ribosomal RNA, 492 nt
Filed under: uncultured bacterium
Lineage: Bacteria
Description: partial 16S ribosomal RNA
Rfam family: Bacterial small subunit ribosomal RNA
Source: RNAcentral
AGUGAACGCUGGCGGUAGGCCUAACACAUGCAAGUCGAACGGCAGCAUAGUAAGAGCUUGCUCUUACGGGUGGCGAGUGGCGGACGGGUGAGGAAUACAUCGGAAUCUACUUUUUCGUGGGGGAUAACGUAGGGAAACUUACGCUAAUACCGCAUACGACCUACGGGUGAAAGCAGGGGAUCUUCGGACCUUGCGCGAUUGAAUGAGCCGAUGUCGGAUUAGCUAGUUGGCGGGGUAAAGGCCCACCAAGGCGACGAUCCGUAGCUGGUCUGAGAGGAUGAUCAGCCACACUGGAACUGAGACACGGUCCAGACUCCUACGGGAGGCAGCAGUGGGGAAUAUUGGACAAUGGGCGCAAGCCUGAUCCAGCCAUACCGCGUAGGUGAAGAAGGCCUUCGGGUUGUAAAGCCCUUUUGUUGGGAAAGAAAAGCAGCAGGUUAAUACCCCGCUGUUCUGACGGUACCCAAAGAAUAAGCACCGGCUAACUUCGUG